Long non-coding RNA from Ananas comosus (pineapple), 695 nucleotides. RefSeq lists it as uncharacterized. The record is from RefSeq and is a predicted model, not a curated record. Lineage: Eukaryota; Viridiplantae; Streptophyta; Magnoliopsida; Poales; Bromeliaceae. The transcript has 2 exons.
CGGUCGUUAUUGACACAUGGCUAUGGUUAGUAGGUUUUGGCCGCAGGAUUAGGAGCUGGACCUCGGCGAUGGGUGCCCACUUCAGUUUUGGAGGAGUUUUCGGCUGUUUCAAGUGCCCGGUUCUUAGUUUCAGGCGCCCUAAUCUGGGUUUCUUAGCAAUGGACAUGUUAGCUUGUUUUGAUUUGAAGGCUCAAUUUACCUAUCCAAUUCUUCUGUAAAAUGAACCCCCUUCAUCCCGAAUUAACCUCUUUCCAUCUCUAUUACUAGGAAAAUUCAUUCACCCUCUUUUAACCCUUUCUUCUUCUCAAUCCACUCCCUGCAGGCUAGAAUUAAUUGAGCAGGAGCAAUUGAACCAACGAUAGCUAGCUUGGAUUUUAAGCUAAAUAGGAGCCAUCUACUAUUAGAUUGGGUUGUGUUCGUGGAUUACAUGUUGAAGAAGAGUUUGGAGGCUGAUUCCAUCGUUUAAAUUUCAGAGUCCAAUGUACUUGUACCCAGUGUAUCUGUCCGAGGUAAAAGGAUUGCUGGAUAGAUAGCUCUCCUAUUCAUCGACCAGUUUAGAGGAGAACCCAGUAUUUGCUAGUUUUUUUUAGAGAGACUUUCUAUACAUAUUGUUGUUUUUAUUUUCCUGUGCCUAUAGAUUGUAUUAGCUUUUGGAAGUUGUAUAUGUACAAUUUGCUUCGGUUACAUUUUAGUUA